Molecule: ribosomal RNA, 370 nt
Filed under: uncultured organism
Description: bacterial SSU rRNA
Rfam family: Bacterial small subunit ribosomal RNA
Source: RNAcentral
CGAAGGGGGCUAGCGUUGUUCGGAAUUACUGGGCGUAAAGCGCGUGUAGGCGGUUAUCCAAGUCGGGUGUGAAAGCCUUGAGCUCAACUCAAGAAAUGCAUUCGGUACUGGGUGACUAGAGGACCGGAGAGGAUAGUGGAAUUCCCAGUGUAGUGGUGAAAUACGUAGAGAUUGGGAAGAACACCAGUGGCGAAGGCGGCUAUCUGGACGGUUUCUGACGCUAAGACGCGAAAGCGUGGGGAGCAAACAGGAUUAGAUACCCUGGUAGUCCACGCCGUAAACGAUGGGUGCUAGACGUUGGCGAGCUUGCUCGUCAGUGUCGCAGCUAACGCGUUAAGCACCCCGCCUGGGGAGUACGGCCGCAAGGUUG